Molecule: long non-coding RNA, 1161 nt
Organism: Mastomys coucha (southern multimammate mouse)
Lineage: Eukaryota; Metazoa; Chordata; Mammalia; Rodentia; Muridae
Exons: 3
Source: RefSeq, a predicted model, not a curated record
AAUUCAGACAAGAGAUGGGAUGAUGAAAGAGGAAAUCUGAGUGCUUUGGAGAUGCAAGAUGGUUGAGGCAAGUGAUGCUUAGGAGGCCUGGGCAAGCUGAACGAAGACAAGAAGACAAAGGCUCCUUGCAAAGUGUCUGCAAAGAACUGGAGCUGCACUUACUGGUCAUUAAACAUUUUCCUUCAAUAAACUGCAACAAAACUGAAUAUCGCAAAACAACAAUGCUUAGGCUUUCUGGGAUGCCCCCUUGGACUGGACAAGAUGAUGUUUACUGAACCUUUUCAGCUGGUGAGAUUUUGGACCUGGUAUGAAGACAGAGCAAACACACUGUCAAAGAUGGAUCAUAAAGCAAGAGUUAUAGAUUGGAAAAGGGAAGAAACAAAUAAACAAAUAAACAAAUAAUAAGUUAGAUCUGAUUUAAUUAUCCAAGUAACCCAAACACCAACAAAUGUGAAUUUACAUUUUGAAAGGGCUUUAUUUCAAAAUCAUGGGUUUCUAAAGAGGUGGCUGUGUAUCUGGAAUAUUGUACACUCUGGUGAAAUGGAGACUAUGGCUUUGGCUAUAUCCUAAUGAGUUGAUUGUCUGUGGUAUUCAGUCACAACACGGGCAAGCUGAUCUACACAGCUCUUUACCUUGAUCUUUGGUGACUACUGAAGGGUCCUGAUUAGGAGUGAUGAGGGCCCAUGACAGACUCCCCAUCUUAGGGGUACCUUUUGCUCUCAAUGUAAUUAAGCCACAAAACACCAUGGCAGUGGGAUCUAAGACGUGUGGUCUUUCUUCAAGACAUCGAAUUUACCUUGAAUGACGUCAGUACUUUGCCAGAUUGAUUCACUGUAGAAGAAAUGACAUUGAUACUUCGAGAUGCAAGUCUUCCCUACCCUCUUUUCAGCUUCAUCCUUGUGGAUGAAGGAAGACUCCCUGGGAACCACCACGUGAUGCGAAGCCCAAACCCUGUGGGGUGGCUUGGAAGAAGCAGACACCAAAUAACAGGCCCAAGAUGUGGGAGGAGCAGACUCCUUAUUAAAGGAACCAUCUUGGAGAGACAGCACCACCAAUAUCAAGAUUUUAGAUCACACAGUCAGAUUUUAGAUCACACAGGCUUCAUCUGCACUGAAGCCACCAAGUUAAACAUUUCUAGUCAACUCAUACAACCACAAGAGA